This 4780-nucleotide long non-coding RNA is filed under the name Sarcophilus harrisii (Tasmanian devil). RNAcentral describes it as "lncRNA (ENSSHAG00000020898.1)". The record is from RNAcentral. Lineage: Eukaryota; Metazoa; Chordata; Mammalia; Dasyuromorphia; Dasyuridae.
GACAGCAGUCAGCCUGGGACCAAAAGGUGCAGCAGUUAGGAAACAGCUGGGGCCAAGUUUAAGGCUCAGCCCUAACUAAAGGGUCCUUUUGUGGCUAAUUUCUAUUUUGACAGGUGGCUGCCAGGCAGCCUGCCCUAACCUCUCCCCUACCCAGUCCAGUUUUUUCUCCACUGCAAAUCAUCAGCCUUAGUCAAUUGCACCAAGUCUCCCCAUCACUUCACAAAAUUGACACCAAAAAGCCGACAAGGGCUUUCUAUUAUAUAACUGUCUCAAACUCCUUUUCCUUUUUCUUUCUAAACUCCCUAAAAUAAAGACUUCAAUAUCUCCCAAUUUUGUCAGGAGAACGCCAAGAACUAUGCACCAAGAGAGCUAGCUUUUUCUCUGCUUCAAACAUACCCCACACAAAAUCACUUUUUACUGAACACCCAAAAAGCAUUUAUUUUCCAUUACUCAGUAAGAGCAUAUUAAAAUCUUCUUUCCUGCUGUUCUAAUCUAAAAGGAAUUUAGUCAUGCAAGUGACUAAAUUCUGUGGGAAGCUGGUAAAUGCUGCAAGCAACCUAUUUCAUUUCAAUUUCGUUUUUCAAAUAUCCCCCAUCAGAAUUAUAUACACUUUUUGAUUUUGAUCCAGAUCUGUAAUUUUGGCUGGAUAGGAGCUCCUCUACUGGAUAAACUUUCUUCCUUGAGGCAGUUCUGUAGCUUCUAGAACUCAGUCUGAGUUGCCCACAUGUCCUAAAGGGAUAAGGGGUCUGUCCACUGCCAUGCAGAAUAAGCCAGAGGCAAAACCUGAAGCCAGGUUUCAAGAGCCAAAAGUUGGCCCUCUGUCCAUCACAAUCUCGUUCCCUCUCAAAAUCACUCCAAUUUACUCUGAAAAACACUUCUUUACUUUCAUGAUGGUUUGAAAGAGUCACUGAGGUCUCUUCUAACUCUCAAAAUUCUAUGAGCUAGUUGGAUACUUGGCAAUGUUUUAUGCCAGCACUUUCCCAAAGAAAUGGCAUAAGUCAUGCUCAUCUGCCACCUUGCACACACACCCACACUUGGCAUUUUAAAAAAACUGUAUGACAGUUGCUAAGCCCAGUUUUCUCCAAACUUCUGAGGACAGAGCUAGUUUGUAAGUCUUUAGAAUAUGAACUUUUUUUCCAGCUUUCUUAAAAGUGGAUUACUGAAGAGAUUUAAAUACAAUUGGAAGACUCAGAAGAAUGUUUAAAUAUAGAGACCAGCCCCUAUAUGGGCACUAUUAAGAUUCUUUUCCUUAAGCAUUUGUAAGACUGUAUUAAAAUAGGUAUUUGCCAUGCUAACUCAAUUUUAAACAUUAACCCUACUUUUUAAAAAAGGCGGGGGGGAAAGGUAAGGAAGACCCUUCAUAGCAGAAGUUCUAUAGUGUUACAUGAUCUUUAUAUAUCAAGUAUAUUUUGCAUACAAAAAUAACUCAAGAAUACAACUCAAAAAAAAAAAGCAUAUAUGCCAGCACAACUUUAAUUACAUCUCUUUCACUGAUUAAUAAAUGCAUCUCUCUGUCUUUUUCUCCUCUUCCGGGUCAAAGCUACCUCAAUUACUCUUUGAUAUGCAUAUAAAUGGGGCAAGCAUAAAUGGAUUAGAGCAACAGGCUAGGAGUCAGUAAGACCCCAGUUCAAAUAUGGUCUAAGAUAUUUACUAGCUAUGUGACUCCGUGCAAGUCACUUAAUUCAAUUUGACUCAGUUUCCCCCUCUGUAAAAUGAAUUGGAGGAGGAAAUGGCAAACCAAUCCUGUAUCUUUGCCAAGAAAACUCCAAAAGACAUCAUAAAGAGUCAGUUAUGACUGAACAACUGCAACAGGCCUUGGGUGAGAAUGAAGAAGGAAAAAGGGAGAAAAGGCAUUAGACCUUCCACUAAAAACUCAGGGUUCUCAUACAUAAAAAUGAGCCCAGGUUCAAGUAUAGCCUCUGACACUACUUGGCUUCUCCAGUUGGGUCAAACACCCCAGGAGCCAGUGUGAUCAGAUGGCUUAGGAGGUCAGAACUGUACGUUUUAGCUCAGUCAUUCCAAAACCUCUCCAUAUUUAACAAGCCAAAGUUGCUCCACCAAUUCUCUAGAAGGGACUGAUGGUCAAAGUUCACCUGCCAUUUUCUUUUAGUCUCUAGAAAACCUUUCAGCCUAAUCUAAUUUUCCAAAAUUAGUAAGAUCCCAAGCUAUCUACUCAGGAUUGGGUUUCAUCCUUUACACCUCUCAACCCCUAUCCCUAGAGCUUUUUCAAGAAACCUUCUUUUCACCCGAUAUGGGCCCACAACUUACUACAAAACAGAAACACGCAUUCACUAGCUGAGAUAGUUGCCCCCUCUUCUUACCCUACAACAAAUUACUCUAGUUUUGAAUAGGACAAAUGUAAUAUGUAAUAACAUAACAAUAUAACAACUGCCCCCCCCCACCCCAUAAUCAGCUGCUGAACCCACAACUCAGGACUUUCUCAUCCUGGUUUUGUUCCCUGUCUUAAGAAUUGAAGGCAAUAUUCCAACUCGAUUUAUGAUCCUAUGAACCCCACCCAUUUCUCCACCAAAGUACUUCCAUCUAUCCUGAGGCCUGGAUAAAAUACUUUCAGAUUAAGUCAUGACUGUUUCCAUAUCAGCAUGGGCUGCUUAUUAAGUCAUACAAUGCAUAAAACCAAACACAAACACAAACAGGACUUUGGGAUUUGAAUCUUUUUUAAAAAAAACGGUAUUUGUAUUAAAAGUCUUUAAAUGAAUAGACAACAAUUAAACGCAUGUCUGGAAUUAAAAUUACAAUUAGUUAGAAUCUGCUCGGUACAUCACAUUAAAAUUUUACUUUUGGCCAGAAGAAUAUCCUACAACAGGAAAAAAAAAGGGGGGGGGGGGGAGGGAAAAGGGCACUAAAUACCUGAAAAUUUAAAUUAGAUGAAGCCAAGAAUACUUUCCAAACGUGGAAAUUACAUGUAAAAGACACCAAAAGAAAAUCAAAAUAAAUUCCAUGAACAACAGGCCAUUUUGUCCUGGCUUGUUGGGUAUGGUCACUGAAAGGAAACCGUCAAGUACUUUAGUACUUUGGGGAGUCAUAGCAAAUAAUGGGAUUUGUGGAACUUUCACAGGUUGGCACGGCUGGAACAGCUGAGUUUUGAAGGCACUCUAGACACAGGGUCGCUGUUGCCCCUGAAUCACAUUUGAGGAAGUCUUUGUACUGUACUUUAAAGAUCUGGUCAUCAAAAUCAGUUAUUGCCAACCAAAAGGAAACCCUGAACCCAAACCAAACAAAAUGAACAAAGCACCCCACCGAAAAUAAAAACAAAACGAAAACAAAAAAAUAAACAAAUGUGCAGAUUUGUAAUUUUUCACAGCUGAUAAAAAAAAAAAAAAAAAAAAAAAAAAGGAAACACUACCGCUCUCCCCCAGACUCCAAUUUGAUACAGUAGGUAAACAAAAUAGAUUUUUUUUUUCCACAAAUAUCAGCAGACACUUUCUGGCACUCCACACUGUAUUGGCAUCAGUGUAAACAGUCCCAGUUCAGUUGUGCAAUACUUCAGAUUGGAUACACUGUAACAAUAAUCCAACUUUGCAUAGAAAUCCUCAGAAUCCUAAUCAGUCCCAGGGUUGCACUUCCAGGCUGCCAGGGAAGGCAGAAACCCCCCACUUGCUGUACACACAUGCCUGGAAACGGGGUCUCUUCCUCUGCUUUUAUUUCUUCACAGGCUUUUCCUGCACUUCCUUCCCCGGUCCAGGUACUUCAAUCUUCGAAUUGGAAAGGGAUCCUCCUCCGACUCCCAUCCGUUCCCUCCAGAUUGAAACUUUUUUUUUUUUUUUUUUUUUUUUUUUUUUGCCUGGUGUCAAGUAGCCAAUACAGCUAACGGCUGCUUUAAGUGGGGAAACGGGCAGCAACUAUCAAAGAAAUCCACGAGGGGAAUGUACAUGCGUGGAAAGCGCCACAUUUCCACCCAGGUUUCGGAUGUUAAAUACAACCCAACUCCCUCCCACCCCCAAGACAAUGAGCACGGGGGCCCGGCAGCUGCUGCCGAAAUAGCCUCGAGCCCCCACCUGGAACACACCUUGGACGAUGCAAAGUUGUUUCCAAUCUUAAAAUAAUAAUUAAAAAAAAAUCACAUUGAGAAAGAAGUAUUGUGUUUUGCUUUCGCGUUUUUUCUUUAAAAAAUAAAGAGAAAGAAAAAGAAAGAAACCCAUAAAAAUGCCACCCGAAGCACAGGGCCGACGGGAGCGGGCCCCUCCCGCCCCCCGGCUUUCAGAGAAUCACGCAGGAGGAGCAGCACUGGUCGUCCCCGUUGGGCUGAGCCGCAUAGUUCAUCUGGCGGACAAUCUCAGCGAACAACUCGUCCACCGAGGCUUUAUUUUUGGCCGAUGUCUCGAGGAAGGGGCAGCUCCACUCCUCCGCCAGGGCCUUGCCCUCCCCGAAGGAGACCUCGCGCUCGCCCUCCAGGUCCACCUUGUUGCCCACCAGGAUCAUGGGCACCCGUUCGUACCUCUUAACGCGGAUGAUCUGGUCGCGCAUGGGCUUGAUGUCCUGGAAGCUCUGCUGGUUGACCAGGCUGUAGACGAGGAUGAAGCCCUGGCCGUUCUUGAUGUACAGGUCCCGCAUGGACGCGAACUGCUCGGUACCGGCAGUGUCCAGGAUCUCCAGCACGGACGGCGACGAGUCCACCUCGAUCUCCUUGCGGUAGAAGUCCUCGAUGGUGGGGUCGUACUUCUCGAUGAAGGAGCCCGUCACGAACUGCACGCCUUGCCUGGGUCUGCUUGACCCUGUGUUUAUUUACUAUUUGACUAUUUAUAUACCUGGAAGAUCAGCU